This 2925-nucleotide ribosomal RNA is filed under the name Escherichia coli. RNAcentral's name for it is "bacterial LSU rRNA". It matches the Rfam family "Bacterial large subunit ribosomal RNA". The record is from RNAcentral. Lineage: Bacteria; Pseudomonadati; Pseudomonadota; Gammaproteobacteria; Enterobacterales; Enterobacteriaceae.
GGGUUGUGAGGUUAAGCGACUAAGCGUACACGGUGGAUGCCCUGGCAGUCAGAGGCGAUGAAGGACGUGCUAAUCUGCGAUAAGCGUCGGUGAGGUGAUAUGAACCGUUAUAACCGGCGAUUUCCGAAUGGGGAAACCCAGUGUGUUUCGACACACUAUCAUUAACUGAAUCCAUAGGUUAAUGAGGCGAACCGGGGGAACUGAAACAUCUAAGUACCCCGAGGAAAAGAAAUCAACCGAGAUUCCCCCAGUAGCGGCGAGCGAACGGGGAGGAGCCCAGAGCCUGAAUCAGUGUGUGUGUUAGUGGAAGCGUCUGGAAAGGCGCGCGAUACAGGGUGACAGCCCCGUACACAAAAAUGCACAUAUUGUGAGCUCGAUGAGUAGGGCGGGACACGUGGUAUCCUGUCUGAAUAUGGGGGGACCAUCCUCCAAGGCUAAAUACUCCUGACUGACCGAUAGUGAACCAGUACCGUGAGGGAAAGGCGAAAAGAACCCCGGCGAGGGGAGUGAAAAAGAACCUGAAACCGUGUACGUACAAGCAGUGGGAGCCUCUUAAUGGGGUGACUGCGUACCUUUUGUAUAAUGGGUCAGCGACUUAUAUUCUGUAGCAAGGUUAACCGAAUAGGGGAGCCGAAGGGAAACCGAGUCUUAACUGGGCGUUAAGUUGCAGGGUAUAGACCCGAAACCCGGUGAUCUAGCCAUGGGCAGGUUGAAGGUUGGGUAACACUAACUGGAGGACCGAACCGACUAAUGUUGAAAAAUUAGCGGAUGACUUGUGGCUGGGGGUGAAAGGCCAAUCAAACCGGUAGAUAGCUGGUUCUCCCCGAAAGCUAUUUAGGUAGCGCCUCGUGAAUUCAUCUCCGGGGGUAGAGCACUGUUUCGGCAAGGGGGUCAUCCCGACUUACCAACCCGAUGCAAACUGCGAAUACCGGAGAAUGUUAUCACGGGAGACACACGGCGGGUGCUAACGUCCGUCGUGAAGAGGGAAACAACCCAGACCGCCAGCUAAGGUCCCAAAGUCAUGGUUAAGUGGGAAACGAUGUGGGAAGGCCCAGACAGCCAGGAUGUUGGCUUAGAAGCAGCCAUCAUUUAAAGAAAGCGUAAUAGCUCACUGGUCGAGUCGGCCUGCGCGGAAGAUGUAACGGGGCUAAACCAUGCACCGAAGCUGCGGCAGCGACACUAUGUGUUGUUGGGUAGGGGAGCGUUCUGUAAGCCUGUGAAGGUGGCCUGUGAGGGUUGCUGGAGGUAUCAGAAGUGCGAAUGCUGACAUAAGUAACGAUAAAGCGGGUGAAAAGCCCGCUCGCCGGAAGACCAAGGGUUCCUGUCCAACGUUAAUCGGGGCAGGGUGAGUCGACCCCUAAGGCGAGGCCGAAAGGCGUAGUCGAUGGGAAACAGGUUAAUAUUCCUGUACUUGGUGUUACUGCGAAGGGGGGACGGAGAAGGCUAUGUUGGCCGGGCGACGGUUGUCCCGGUUUAAGCGUGUAGGCUGGUUUUCCAGGCAAAUCCGGAAAAUCAAGGCUGAGGCGUGAUGACGAGGCACUACGGUGCUGAAGCGACAAAUGCCCUGCUUCCAGGAAAAGCCUCUAAGCAUCAGGUAACAUCAAAUCGUACCCCAAACCGACACAGGUGGUCAGGUAGAGAAUACCAAGGCGCUUGAGAGAACUCGGGUGAAGGAACUAGGCAAAAUGGUGCCGUAACUUCGGGAGAAGGCACGCUGAUAUGUAGGUGAAGCGACUUGCUCGUGGAGCUGAAAUCAGUCGAAGAUACCAGCUGGCUGCAACUGUUUAUUAAAAACACAGCACUGUGCAAACACGAAAGUGGACGUAUACGGUGUGACGCCUGCCCGGUGCCGGAAGGUUAAUUGAUGGGGUUAGCGGUAACGCGAAGCUCUUGAUCGAAGCCCCGGUAAACGGCGGCCGUAACUAUAACGGUCCUAAGGUAGCGAAAUUCCUUGUCGGGUAAGUUCCGACCUGCACGAAUGGCGUAAUGAUGGCCAGGCUGUCUCCACCCGAGACUCAGUGAAAUUGAACUCGCUGUGAAGAUGCAGUGUACCCGCGGCAAGACGGAAAGACCCCGUGAACCUUUACUAUAGCUUGACACUGAACAUUGAGCCUUGAUGUGUAGGAUAGGUGGGAGGCUUUGAAGUGUGGACGCCAGUCUGCAUGGAGCCGACCUUGAAAUACCACCCUUUAAUGUUUGAUGUUCUAACGUGGGCCCCUUACCGGGGUUGCGGACAGUGUCUGGUGGGUAGUUUGACUGGGGCGGUCUCCUCCUAAAGAGUAACGGAGGAGCACGAAGGUUGGCUAAUCCUGGUCGGACAUCAGGAGGUUAGUGCAAUGGCAUAAGCCAGCUUGACUGCGAGCGUGACGGCGCGAGCAGGUGCGAAAGCAGGUCAUAGUGAUCCGGUGGUUCUGAAUGGAAGGGCCAUCGCUCAACGGAUAAAAGGUACUCCGGGGAUAACAGGCUGAUACCGCCCAAGAGUUCAUAUCGACGGCGGUGUUUGGCACCUCGAUGUCGGCUCAUCACAUCCUGGGGCUGAAGUAGGUCCCAAGGGUAUGGCUGUUCGCCAUUUAAAGUGGUACGCGAGCUGGGUUUAGAACGUCGUGAGACAGUUCGGUCCCUAUCUGCCGUGGGCGCUGGAGAACUGAGGGGGGCUGCUCCUAGUACGAGAGGACCGGAGUGGACGCAUCACUGGUGUUCGGGUUGUCAUGCCAAUGGCACUGCCCGGUAGCUAAAUGCGGAAGAGAUAAGUGCUGAAAGCAUCUAAGCACGAAACUUGCCCCGAGAUGAGUUCUCCCUGACUCCUUGAGAGUCCUGAAGGAACGUUGAAGACGACGACGUUGAUAGGCCGGGUGUGUAAGCGCAGCGAUGCGUUGAGCUAACCGGUACUAAUGAACCGUGAGGCUUAACCUUACAACGCCGAAG